Molecule: long non-coding RNA, 1950 nt
Filed under: Olea europaea subsp. europaea
Lineage: Eukaryota; Viridiplantae; Streptophyta; Magnoliopsida; Lamiales; Oleaceae
Rfam family: mir-172 microRNA precursor family (bases 881-1003)
Source: RNAcentral
CGUGAGUUCCCUAACUGGCUUACCUUUUUCUUCCUGACUCCUCCAAUAACCAUUCUCUCUCUAAAAAACGCGCAGAAGAAUAUUUCAAUGGCCAGAGAGUUGCAUAUCAGGCUUGUUCAUAGUUCUUGUUCUUUUCUUUUUUGCUUUUAUGAAAUUCUUCAUAUGUCAUAUUUAAUUUCAACUGAUGAUGAACAUCUGAAUUUUAAUUCUCUGUUACGUUUGUGUUUUGAUCUUCUUUAGAUCGGAUUUAAAGCCUCAUCUUUUAUCCGCACUUGAGAACGGUUCCUGAUCCUCUUUAUAUUAUUUGAUAUUUAGAAAUUCUUGUUUCUCCAAGUUAAUAUAUAAAACCCUUGUGUUUCUUGGUGGAUUAAUAUAACUGAUCAGCAACAAAAGAAGAUAAUAUCACUCGAUGCUGGAACCCGAUCGAAUAUUAAUUUAACUUAAGAACUUCUGCGUUUUAUUUAUUCUGUUAUUUUUAUGGUCAUUUGCUAUGAUUGAGAUAUAUAUAUAUGAAAGUAAAAUUUGGGUUUUUUUUUUCAAUUGUAAUAAAAAUUAUAUAUUAAAAAAAAAAACGUUUUUGUUCUCUUCUGUGGUAAGGAAAUGAGUUCUAAUUAAAUUUUUGUUUGGUAACAGUUAGUCAAGUCAUGGCUUACACUUAUUCAUUGAUAAUAGGCCACAUCAGCCUCUUGCUCGUGGCUUUCUUGCCAGUUGAUAAGAGUGACCGAGAGGCCAAAUAAAAUUGAUGAUAUUUGCAUAAAUCUAUAUAAUAACUUGAAAGUCAAGAUUGAUAAAAGGAAGAUUUCGGAUUAACAAUUUAACCCUAUUGACAGAUCGAUGUAGUAAGAGAUGGAACUGCCAUGAAACGGCUUGACCACAGUUGUUGUUUGCUGGUGUAGCACCAUCAAGAUUCACAUGAAAAAGCAAGGUGGUGAGUUCAUUGCUUUUUCGCUCUGCCAUAGCUUUUUGGUACUGAGAAUCUUGAUGAUGCUGCAUUGGCAAUAAACGACUAGCAAACCAAUAUGUAUGCUAUUCUUCAGUGAUGUCUGCCAGACGGGAUUUUGGUAUUUUUAUGGAUUAUAUACGAAUUCUUCCGUCCAGUACUAAUUACCAAAUAUGUUGUAAGUGCAUAUUUGAUAUGCCUUACUCAAUAUUAUUUUUCUAGUCUUGCUCUAUAUACCAAACACACCUUGGCUGUACUAUUUCACUUUUGUGUAUGGGUUUUGUGUCAGCUCUUUGUAGACAGACACAAGUGACUGCUGAUUGCUGAAGGACUUCACUCUGCAGAUCAAAUGCAUAGAUCUGUGAUUGUGCAGAAAAAGUCCUGAUGAAAUCUUUAUCAAUAUAAAGAUAAUCAGAAGUCAAAAAUUUUGGAGAAAUUCUUACAUAAACAGGUAAUUAUAUCUCAUUUUUGCUUAUUUUUCCACAUUCAUUAUUUGAUUCUUAUCAUAGUAUUGAUCAUGGCUUUUUUUCUCUUCUUUUUUUCUCCAGGAAGGUAACAGAUAUGUAAAUUCUCAUCAUCGUGGCAAAUGGACAUGUGACAUGGUAAUUGACAAGAAUUUGCAUUGCCAAGAAGAGGUGAGGACAGCUUUUUAGCUUUCUAUUAUUAGAUACACAACAUUAGAUCAAUCAACUAAAUAAAAACUUGUUAAAAUACGUGCUCUAAAUGCUGGUCGGGCAUAAGAAAGAUUUGUUUUUAUUUUACUUUGUCUUAUUUAACGGAGAUUCAAAGUAAAUUUGAUUGUUACAUGGACAGAAUUCAAAGUGGUGUGUUUUCUUGAGAAAAGUUAAUGGUUUCUUCGAAAAUUGCUACUUUUCUUGGAAAAAUUCAUGAUAGUAUUUAUGACAGACAUUGUUGGGGCUGGAUUGCUCUUAACAGUUAUCAUCAGUCCAGUUAAGUGGACCUAUUUAUUGCAACUUGGCAUGUACUCUUCCUCAGAGAAAUGUUCAGUC